This 213-nucleotide long non-coding RNA is filed under the name Nicotiana benthamiana. RNAcentral describes it as "long non-coding RNA (NBEN_LNC030808)". Lineage: Eukaryota; Viridiplantae; Streptophyta; Magnoliopsida; Solanales; Solanaceae. The record is from RNAcentral.
GGGCUUAAAUUGGCCAAAUGAGUCGGGCUUAAUGGGCCCAGGCUUAGCGGGCUUGGGCUCUAGCGGGCACGGGCCUAACACUUUCGGGCUUUGUGGGCUCAACGGGUGGGACCAGCCCAUAUGGUCAUGGGUUAAAUGGGUCGGGCUCGUGGCCUUAGCGGGCCUAACGAGCUUUUUCAUUUUCGGGCUUUUUUUAUUUUUUUUUAUUUAAGG